GACGAACGCUGGCGGCAUGCCUAACACAUGCAAGUCGAACGGAGAAAGUUCAACACUGAGAAUCUCAGUGCAGGACGCCUAGCGGUGAAAGCGAAGCUUUCACUACGCUAUUUAUAGUAUGACAACACAUACGAGGUGGAAAACAUUGAGGAUUUCAGUGUUGAACCUUCUUAGUGGCGAACGGGUGAGUAACGCGUAGGCAACCUGCCCUUUAGUUGGGGACAACAUCCCGAAAGGGGUGCUAAUACCGAAUGUGAUCAUUUUCCCGCAUGGGAUUAUGAUGAAAGAUGGCCUCUAUUUAUAAGCUAUCGCUAAAGGAUGGGCCUGCGUCUGAUUAGCUAGUUGGUGGGGUAACGGCUACCAAGGCGAUGAUCAGUAGCCGGUCUGAGAGGAUGAACGGCCACAUUGGGACUGAGACACGGCCCAG
This 427-nucleotide ribosomal RNA is filed under the name uncultured bacterium. RNAcentral describes it as "bacterial SSU rRNA". It matches the Rfam family "Bacterial small subunit ribosomal RNA", at positions 28 to 334 of the family's 1533-position model. The record is from RNAcentral.